GCCUGGGUGGCUCAGUGGUUGAGCAUCUGGCUUCGGCUCAGGGUGUGGUCCUGGAGUUGUGGGAUCAAUUCCCAUAUCGGGUU
RNAcentral lists this transfer RNA (83 nucleotides) under Canis lupus familiaris (dog). It matches the Rfam family "tRNA". From Rfam's summary of the family: Transfer RNA (tRNA) molecules are approximately 80 nucleotides in length. Their secondary structure includes four short double-helical elements and three loops (D, anti-codon, and T loops). The record is from Rfam by way of RNAcentral. Lineage: Eukaryota; Metazoa; Chordata; Mammalia; Carnivora; Canidae. RNAcentral also lists the same sequence under 2 other names.